RNAcentral lists this ribosomal RNA (421 nucleotides) under uncultured bacterium. Its description in RNAcentral is "partial 16S ribosomal RNA". It matches the Rfam family "Bacterial small subunit ribosomal RNA", at positions 360 to 773 of the family's 1533-position model. The record is from RNAcentral.
AAUAUUGGACAAUGGGGUCAACCCUGAUCCAGCCAUUCCGCGUGUGUGAUGAACGUCUUCGGAUUGUAAAGCACAGUAAGUUGGGCGGAAGGGCAGUGAGUCAAUACCUUGCUGUAUUGACGUUACCGACAGAACAAGCGCCGGCUAACUUCGUGUCAGCAGCCGCGGUAAUACGAAGGGUGCAAGCGUUAAUCGGAAUUACUGGGUGUAAAGCGCGCGUAGGUGGUUCAGUAAGAUGGGUGUGAAAUCCCCGGGCUUAACCUGGGAACUGGUUUCAUAACUGCUGAGCUAGAGUACGGUAGAGGGUAGUGGAAUUUCCUGUGUAGCGGUGAAAUGCGUAGAUAUAGGAAGGAACACCAGUGGCGAAGGCGACCACCUGGGCUAAUACUGACACUGAGGUGCGAAAGCGUGGGGAGCAAAC